AGUGGAUGGGGAGCAACCUAGUUGUGCGUGUGUAAAGGUAGUGCCAAGAAAAGCGAUGAUCAUGUUGAAAAUCAAUUCCCGGUACCCGAAACCGACACAGGUGGGCAAGUAGAGAAUACUAAGGGGCGCGAGGUAACUCUCUCCAAGGAACUCGGCAAAAUGACCCCGUAACUUAGGGAGAAGGGGUGCCACCGAGAGGUGGUCGCAGUGAAGAGGCCCAGGCGACUGUUUAGCAAAAACAUAGGUCUCUGCAAACUCGAAAGAGGAGGUAUAGGGGCUGACGCCUGCCCAGUGCCGGAAGGUUAAAGAAGUUGGUCAGUUUUAGGAUGAAGCUAGCGACUGAAGCCCCGGUGAACGGCGGCCGUAACUAUAACGGUCCUAAGGUAGCGAAAUUCCUUGUCGGGUAAGUUCCGACCCGCACGAAAGGCGUAACGAUCUGGGCGCUGUCUCGGAGAGAGGCUCGGCGAAAUAGGAUUGUCUGUGAAGAUACGGACUACCUGCAUUUGGACAGAAAGACCCUAUGAAGCUUUACUAUAGCUUGGAAUUGUGUUCGGGCUUCCUGUGCGCAGGAUAGGUGGGAGGCGUAGAAGGUAUUCUUGUGGGGAUACUGGAGCCAACGGUGAGAUACCACUCUCAGGAGGCUAGAAUUCUAACUUAAUUAAGGACAGUUUCAGGUGGGUAGUUUGACUGGGGCGGUCGCCUCCGAAAAAGGUAACGGAGGCGUACAAAGGUUCCCUCAGACUGGUUGGAAAUCAGUCGAAGAGUGCAAAGGCAGAAGGGAGCUUGACUGCGAGAAGUACAGUUCGAGCAGGGUGGAAACACGGUCUUAGUGAUCCGACGGUGCUGUGUGGAAGGGCCGUCGCUCAACGGAUAAAAGUUACCCUAAGGAUAACAGGCCGAUCUCCCCCAAGAGUUCACAUCGACGGGGAGGUUUGGCACCUCGAUGUCGGCUCAUCGCAACCUGGGGCGGAAGUACGUCCCAAGGGUUGGGCUGUUCGCCCAUUAAAGCGGUACGUGAGCUGGGUUCAGAACGUCGUGAGACAGUUCGGUCCAUAUCCGAUGUAGGCGUGAGAAUAUUGAGAGGAGCCUUCCUUAGUACGAGAGGACCGGGAAGGACGCACCGCUGGUGUACCUGUUAUGAUGCCAAUUGUAAACGCAGGGUAGCCAAGUGCGGAGAGGAUAACCGCUGAAAGCAUCUAAGUGGGAAGCCCACCUCAAGAUGAGUAUUCUGGUGUAAGGUCACGGGAAGACGACCCGUAAAUAGGCACGAGGUGGAAGUGCAGAGAUGUAUGAAGCCGAAGUGUACUAAUAGACCGUCGGCUU
This 1323-nucleotide ribosomal RNA is filed under the name metagenome. RNAcentral describes it as "bacterial LSU rRNA". It matches the Rfam family "Bacterial large subunit ribosomal RNA", at positions 1561 to 2925 of the family's 2925-position model. The record is from RNAcentral.